This 253-nucleotide ribosomal RNA is filed under the name uncultured bacterium. Its description in RNAcentral is "partial 16S ribosomal RNA". It matches the Rfam family "Bacterial small subunit ribosomal RNA", at positions 524 to 776 of the family's 1533-position model. The record is from RNAcentral.
UACGUAGGGGGCUAGCGUUGUCCGGAUUUAUUGGGCGUAAAGAGCGUGUAGGCGGCUUGGCAAGUCCGCUGUGAAAACUCGAGGCUUAACCUCGAGACGUCGGUGGAAACUGCCUCGCUAGAGUCCGGAAGAGGAGAGUGGAAUUCCUGGUGUAGCGGUGAAAUGCGCAGAUAUCAGGAAGAACGCCCGUGGCUAAGGCGGCUCGCUAGUACGGUACUGACGCUGAGACGCGAAAGCGUGGGGAGCGAACAGG